This 253-nucleotide ribosomal RNA is filed under the name uncultured bacterium. Its description in RNAcentral is "partial 16S ribosomal RNA". It matches the Rfam family "Bacterial small subunit ribosomal RNA", at positions 524 to 776 of the family's 1533-position model. The record is from RNAcentral.
UACGGAGGGAGCUAGCGUUGUUCGGAAAUACUGGGCGUAAAGCGCACGUAGGCGGCGCAGCAAGUCAGGGGUGAAAUCCCGGGGCUCAACCCCGGAACUGCCCUUGAAACUGCAGUGCUAGAAUCUUGGAGAGGCGAGUGGAAUUCCGAGUGUAGAGGUGAAAUUCGUAGAUAUUCGGAAGAACACCAGUGGCGAAGGCGACUCGCUGGCCCGAUACUGACGCUGAGGCACGAAAGCGUGGGGAGCAAACAGG